This is a long non-coding RNA of Mauremys reevesii (Reeves's turtle), 157 nucleotides long. RefSeq lists it as uncharacterized. The transcript is spliced from 3 exons. NCBI's taxonomy places the organism in Eukaryota, Metazoa, Chordata, Testudines, Geoemydidae. The record is from RefSeq and is a predicted model, not a curated record.
GACCGACGUGAUUCACCGGAUCCCGAGGACCCCUGCUCAUCCGACUGGAAUAGUCUAGGUGCACCCGCUGGAAACAGCCACUCGUGGCGGCGUUGGUACACCGAAUAUCCCUGCACAAACCUCAACGGCACAACGGCAUUAUCAGAAGUUCUUCCUG